Molecule: ribosomal RNA, 207 nt
Filed under: uncultured bacterium
Lineage: Bacteria
Description: partial 16S ribosomal RNA
Rfam family: Bacterial small subunit ribosomal RNA
Source: RNAcentral
CUCGUAGGCGGUUCGUCGCGUCCGGUGUGAAAGUCCAUCGCUUAACGGUGGAUCCGCGCCGGGUACGGGCGGGCUUGAGUGCGGUAGGGGAGACUGGAAUUCCCGGUGUAACGGCGGAAUGUGUAGAUAUCGGGAAGAACACCAAUGGCGAAGGCAGGUCUCUGGGCCGUCACUGACGCUGAGGAGCGAAAGCGUGGGGAGCGAACA